This 270-nucleotide ribosomal RNA is filed under the name uncultured bacterium. RNAcentral describes it as "partial 16S ribosomal RNA". It matches the Rfam family "Bacterial small subunit ribosomal RNA", at positions 29 to 280 of the family's 1533-position model. The record is from RNAcentral.
AACGAACGCUGGCGGCGUGCCUAACACAUGCAAGUCGAGCGGGAAAGUUCCCUUCGGGGAGCGAGUACAGCGGCGAACGGGUGAGUAACACGUAGGUAACCUACCCUGGAGUCUGGGAUAACCUGCCGAAAGGCGGGCUAAUACCAGAUAAGACCACGGGGGCUGCGGCCCCAGAGGUAAAAGAUGGCCUCUGCUUGCAAGCUAUCACUCCGGGAUGGGCCUGCGCGCCAUUAGCUAGUUGGUGGGGUAACGGCUCACCAAGGCUGAGAU